UCCGAGUUGACCCCGGCAGUCUCCUAUGAGUCCCCACCAUUACGUGCUGGCAACAUGAGACAAGGGUUGCGCUCGUUGCGGGACUUAACCCAACAUCUCACGACACGAGCUGACGACAGCCAUGCACCACCUGCACACAGACCUCAAGGGAAACCGCAUCUCUGCGAUCGUCCUGUGCAUGUCAAACCCAGGUAAGGUUCUUCGCGUUGCAUCGAAUUAAUCCACAUGCUCCGCCGCUUGUGCGGGCCCCCGUCAAUUUCUUUGAGUUUUAGCCUUGCGGCCGUACUCCCCAGGCGGGGUACUUAAUGCGUUAGCUACGGCACGGAUCCCAAGGAAGGAAACCCACACCUAGUACCCACCGUUUACGGCGUGGACUAC
Molecule: unclassified non-coding RNA, 378 nt
Filed under: uncultured Mycobacteriaceae bacterium
Lineage: Bacteria; Bacillati; Actinomycetota; Actinomycetes; Mycobacteriales; Mycobacteriaceae
Description: contains 16S-23S intergenic spacer region
Source: RNAcentral